RNAcentral lists this small nuclear RNA (331 nucleotides) under Panthera pardus (leopard). Its description in RNAcentral is "7SK RNA (ENSPPRG00000015253.1)". It matches the Rfam family "7SK RNA". Rfam says of the family: 7SK was discovered as an abundant small nuclear RNA in the mid-70s but a possible function has only recently been suggested. Lineage: Eukaryota; Metazoa; Chordata; Mammalia; Carnivora; Felidae. The record is from RNAcentral.
GGAUGUGAGGGCGAUCUGGCUGCGACAUCUGUCACCCCAUUGAUCUCCAGGGUUGAUUCGGCUGAUCUGGCUGGCUAGGCGGGUGUCCCCUUCCUCCCUCACCGCUCCAUGUGCGUCCCUCCCCAAGCUGCGCGCUCGGUCAAAGAGGAGGACAUUCCCUGAUAGAGGAGGACCGUUCUUCGGUCAAGGGUAUACGAGUAGCUAUGCUCCCCUGCUAGAACCUCCAAACAAGCUCUCAAGGUCCAUUUGUAGGAGAACGUAGGGUAGUCAAGCUUCCAAGACUCCAGACACAUCCAAAUGAGGCGCUGCACGUGGCAUUCUGCCUUUCUAA